GUGGGGAAUCUUGCGCAAUGGGCGAAAGCCUGACGCAGCCAUGCCGCGUGAAUGAUGAAGGUCUUAGGAUUGUAAAAUUCUUUCACCGGGGACGAUAAUGACGGUACCCGGAGAAGAAGCCCCGGCUAACUUCGUGCCAGCAGCCGCGGUAAUACGAAGGGGGCUAGCGUUGCUCGGCAUUACUGGGCGUAAAGGGCGCGUAGGCGGACAGUUUAGUCAGAGGUGAAAGCCCAGGGCUCAACCUUGGAAUUGCCUUGGAUACUGGCUGUCUUGAGUACGGGAGAGGUGAGUGGAACUCCGAGUGUAGAGGUGAAAUUCGUAGAUAUUCGGAAGAACACCAGUGGCGAAGGCGACUCACUGGCCCGUUACUGACGCUGAGGCGCGAAAGCGUGGGGAGCAAACAGGAUUAGAUACCCCUGUAGUCC
Molecule: ribosomal RNA, 425 nt
Filed under: uncultured bacterium
Lineage: Bacteria
Description: partial 16S ribosomal RNA
Rfam family: Bacterial small subunit ribosomal RNA
Source: RNAcentral